AAACCAUGAUGAGGACAUUGUGUCUGAUAACCUUGCGCUCCCAUGCUUCACAAAAGGUCUCAUUAUUUGUCUGUGUGAAAACUAAAAUAUCAUUCCUUAGUCU
RNAcentral lists this small nucleolar RNA (103 nucleotides) under Arabidopsis thaliana (thale cress). RNAcentral's name for it is "Plant small nucleolar RNA R71". It matches the Rfam family "Plant small nucleolar RNA R71". Rfam says of the family: R71 is a member of the C/D box family of snoRNAs containing the C (UGAUGA) and D (CUGA) box motifs. Multiple nearly identical copies of this snoRNA have been identified in Arabidopsis, and it is thought to function as a 2'-O-ribose methylation guide for 18S ribosomal RNA. Lineage: Eukaryota; Viridiplantae; Streptophyta; Magnoliopsida; Brassicales; Brassicaceae. RNAcentral also lists the same sequence under 1 other name. The record is from RNAcentral.